CCAAGGAUGGAUAAUUCUUCAAUGUUGCUGAAGUCUUUCAUUCACUGAUACAGACAAAACCCCCAAAACCACGUUUUUAAUAUAGUGUCAACAAAGGAGUUCAAAGUCAUAGGUACUGCAGAAGAGGGAGCUGAAUUGCCAUCAAGGAUUUUUUUCUUCUAUUCAACUGAUAGACAUGGAAUAUUGAUAAAAGAACAAUGGCAGAGUAAAAUUUUGUAGCUGAUUUUAGGAAGAUAAGAGUUUAUUACAGGCUUAAUAUAGCUCAUAGAAUUACCAGGGGAAUAGAAGGAGCUGAAUAAGGCCACUGAAGAAGCCACUCCCUCUUCUCUAACCAUGGAACCACACUGGUUGGGACAGC
This 358-nucleotide long non-coding RNA is filed under the name Marmota monax (woodchuck). The record is from RNAcentral. Lineage: Eukaryota; Metazoa; Chordata; Mammalia; Rodentia; Sciuridae.